AUUGAACGCUGGCGGCAUGCCUUACACAUGCAAGUCGAACGGUAACAGGUCUUCGGAUUCUGACGAGUGGCGCACGGGUGAGUAAUACAUCGGAACGUGCCCGAUCGUGGGGGAUAACGAGGCGAAAGCUUUGCUAAUACCGCAUACGAUCUACGGAUGAAAGCGGGGGAUCUUCGGACCUCGCGCGGACGGAGCGGCCGAUGGCAGAUUAGGUAGUUGGUGGGAUAAAAGCUUACCAAGCCGACGAUCUGUAGCUGGUCUGAGAGGAUGAUCAGCCACACUGGGACUGAGACACGGCCCAGACUCCUACGGGAGGCAGCAGUGGGGAAUUUUGGACAAUGGGCGAAAGCCUGAUCCAGCCAUGCCGCGUGCAGGAUGAAGGCCUUCGGGUUGUAAACUGCUUUUGUACGGAACGAAAAGCCUCUUUCUAAUAAAGAGGGGUCAUGACGGUACCGUAAGAAUAAGCACCGGCUAACUACGUG
RNAcentral lists this ribosomal RNA (482 nucleotides) under uncultured bacterium. RNAcentral's name for it is "partial 16S ribosomal RNA". It matches the Rfam family "Bacterial small subunit ribosomal RNA", at positions 30 to 507 of the family's 1533-position model. The record is from RNAcentral.